UAUUGCACAAUGGGCGCAAGCCUGAUGCAGCCAUGCCGCGCGUAUGAAGAAGGCCUUCGGGUUGUAAAGUACUUUCAGCGGGGAGGAAGGCGGUGAGGUUAAUAACCUCGCCGAUUGACGUUACCCGCAGAAUAAGCACCGGCUAACUCCGUGCCAGCUGCCGCGGUAAUACGGAGGGUGCAAGCGUUAAUCGGAAUUACUGGGCGUAAAGCGCACGCAGGCGGUCUGUUAAGUCAGAUGUGAAAUCCCCGGGCUUAACCUGGGAACUGCAUUUGAAACUGGCAGGCUUGAGUCUCGUAGAGGGGGGUAGAAUUCCAGGUGUAGCGGUGAAAUGCGUAGAGAUCUGGAGGAAUACCGGUGGCGAAGGCGGCCCCCUGGACGAAGACUGACGCUCAGGUGCGAAAGCGUGGGGAGCAAACAGG
This 422-nucleotide ribosomal RNA is filed under the name uncultured bacterium. RNAcentral's name for it is "bacterial SSU rRNA". It matches the Rfam family "Bacterial small subunit ribosomal RNA", at positions 362 to 776 of the family's 1533-position model. The record is from RNAcentral.